Long non-coding RNA from Rhineura floridana, 1578 nucleotides. RefSeq lists it as uncharacterized. The transcript has 7 exons. NCBI's taxonomy places the organism in Eukaryota, Metazoa, Chordata, Lepidosauria, Squamata, Rhineuridae. The record is from RefSeq and is a predicted model, not a curated record.
GAGGUGUAAAGAUCCCCAGCCUCUUCCUCCAACCAACCUGUGAAGCUUUGGUACUUCGCGAUGGAGAGGCUCGUGCAGGCGCCUCCUUUCCUCCUAGCCCGGGGCCAGCCGGCGGACCUCCCCUCCCCCGGCCCCAACUUGUCCCCUCCACCCCACCGUCUCUACCUGGGCUCCUCCUCCUCCUGCCGUCGCCGCCGCCGCCCUCCAUCCUCACUCCCAUGCUCUUGACCUGGCCCCGCCGGCUCCUUCUCUGCCAGCGAGCCACAAGCGGCCCGCACCGGCGCUUUCCGUCCGUCCGUCCCCCUGCCCGCCCUUCUUCCCUUGUCUCUCUCCGGGCGGGCAAGGGGCGGGCCUGGCAGCCGGCAAGGUUGCUAUGGACACCAUCGCUCGCUUCGCGGCGGCCACCGCUGGGAGCAUUGCGUCCUGGGACCGGGGAAGGCAAGGAAGGGGCGGGGGAAGGUGGACGGAGACCUACGCGGAUCUUGCGCGGGAGUUAAAACCCACCGACGGAGUAGGUCUUACUCCCUGGUGAAGGUGGGCAGAAUUGCCCCCGGAGAGGGUGAAAAUUUGGGGAAGGGACAGCGGCGCAAACUUUUCUCAGAAGUCAGGCCCACCGUUGUCCAAAGGCGCGUAAUUCCUAGAAAUUCAUUGGAUACUGUAUUCAAUUCAUAUUGAGAGCCGUUUUUAUAGUCUUCCUGUGCUUGUGGAGAUGUAGCAAAAACAACACCUGUGCACGUGAGGCAUGUAGCAGUAGAUUUACAGUCUCUUUAGGAGGGAGAUGCUGGUUCUGUAACUGGGCUUUUAACUCUCGGAAACCUUUUGCUGAACAUCUGCCAAAUGAAGAGGUGGAACUGUGUGACAAAAUGAUCUCCUAGGCAUAAAUCCUUGCUGGACCCACAGCAGAUGAAAUGGUAAACCUGUUUCUGACCGGUACCACUUUGGACUACAGAGGAAAUGCUAUUUCAUGAAAAUCAGUUCUUGCUGAAGGCUUUAUCAAUUAAGCAACUCAAAAAUGGAAGCAUCCGACUUCAUUCAUCACUCCUAAAUGGUUUCACCAGGCUGCUCCUAAUGUAAAAUGACAGAAAAUUCUCCACACUAUGUUCCAGGAAUCUGAGCAAAGGAGAACUAUGCAUAUAGCUGUCCAAGGUCCUGAAAUACAUCCCACUAUACUGGUUGUCAUUUCAAUUUAUCUGCAUUGGAUUUCUUUCAUAAUGCUCAUGGAAUUAAUGGACUGGAAGCAAAAGCUGAAACAUUGAGUUGGGAGCUACCUCAAUCUACUAAGGUGUUUUGAAAUUUGUAGGUGAUUGGGGUGAAUUUUUAAAAGAAAGAAUAUGAAUGGAACAACUUUUGCACUUCUAAAUAUCAUUAGCCUUUGCUUUUCCAGGGACAGCUAACAUCUAUAGAAUAUCUGCAGAAUAGGCUUUGUGUUCAAAUUCCAGCAGCUCAUAGUACAUAGCUGAAACCUGUUAAUGUCAGUAUAGACAAAUUCAUAUAUUGUGUCAUGCAAUAUUCUUGUAAAUUGCAUUAAUAAGAAAUAAUGUAAUAUGGUGACCUACAAAGUUGGAUAUAGUAAACAAG